UCCCUGGUGGUCCAGUGGCUAAGACUGCGCUUCCAAAGCAGGCGGUCCAGGUUCCAUCCCUGGUCAGGGAG
This 71-nucleotide transfer RNA is filed under the name Ovis aries (sheep). It matches the Rfam family "tRNA". Rfam says of the family: Transfer RNA (tRNA) molecules are approximately 80 nucleotides in length. Their secondary structure includes four short double-helical elements and three loops (D, anti-codon, and T loops). Further hydrogen bonds mediate the characteristic L-shaped molecular structure. tRNAs have two regions of fundamental functional importance: the anti-codon, which is responsible for specific mRNA codon recognition, and the 3' end, to which the tRNAs corresponding amino acid is attached (by aminoacyl-tRNA synthetases). tRNAs cope with the degeneracy of the genetic code in two manners: having more than one tRNA (with a specific anti-codon) for a particular amino acid; and 'wobble' base-pairing, i.e. permitting non-standard base-pairing at the 3rd anti-codon position. The record is from Rfam by way of RNAcentral. Lineage: Eukaryota; Metazoa; Chordata; Mammalia; Artiodactyla; Bovidae.